CCUACGGGUGGCAGCAGUGAGGAAUAUUGGUCAAUGGGCGCGAGCCUGAACCAGCCAAGUAGCGUGAAGGAUGACUGCCCUACGGGUUGUAAACUUCUUUUAUAAAGGAAUAAAGUGAGGCACGUGAGCCUUUUUGUAUGUAUUUUAUGAAUAAGGAUCGGCUAACUCCGUGCCAGCAGCCGCGGUAAUACGGAGGAUCCGAGCGUUAUCCGGAUUUAUUGGGGUUAAAGGGAGCGUAGAUGGGUUGUUAAGUCAGUUGUGAAAGUUUGCGGCUCAACCGUAAAAUUGCAAUUGAUACUGGCAGUCUUGAGUACAGUUGAGGUAGGCGGAAUUCGUGGUGUAGCGGUGAAAUGCUUAGAGAUCACGAAGAACACCGAUUGCGAAGGCAGCCUACUAAACUGCCACUGACAUUGAUGCUCGAAAGUGUGGGUAUCAAACAGGAUUAGAUACCCUUGUAGUC
RNAcentral lists this ribosomal RNA (460 nucleotides) under uncultured bacterium. RNAcentral's name for it is "partial 16S ribosomal RNA". It matches the Rfam family "Bacterial small subunit ribosomal RNA", at positions 338 to 795 of the family's 1533-position model. The record is from RNAcentral.